This 253-nucleotide ribosomal RNA is filed under the name uncultured bacterium. RNAcentral's name for it is "partial 16S ribosomal RNA". It matches the Rfam family "Bacterial small subunit ribosomal RNA", at positions 524 to 776 of the family's 1533-position model. The record is from RNAcentral.
GACAGAGGGUGCAAACGUUGUUCGGAAUUACUGGGCGUAAAGCGCGUGUAGGCGGCUUGGCAAGUCGGGUGUGAAAGCCCUGGGCUCAACCCAGGAAGUGCACUCGAAACUGCUUCGCUCGAGUAUCGGAGAGGAAAGCGGAAUUCUCGGUGUAGAGGUGAAAUGCGUAGAUAUCGGGAGGAACAUCCGUGGCGAAGGCGGCCACCUGGACCAGCACUGACACUGAGGCACGAAAGCGUGGGGAGCAAACAGG